RNAcentral lists this ribosomal RNA (526 nucleotides) under uncultured bacterium. Its description in RNAcentral is "bacterial SSU rRNA". It matches the Rfam family "Bacterial small subunit ribosomal RNA", at positions 400 to 916 of the family's 1533-position model. The record is from RNAcentral.
CGUGUGUGAUGAAGGUCUUCGGAUCGUAAAGCACUGUCGGGAGGGACGAAUAAGCCCGGAGUGAACAACCCCGGGUGACGACGGUACCUCCAGAGGAAGCACCGGCUAACUCUGUGCCAGCAGCCGCGGUAAUACAGAGGGUGCAAGCGUUGUUCGGAAUUAUUGGGCGUAAAGCGCGUGUAGGCGGCCGCGUAAGUCGGAUGUGAAAGCCCUCGGCUUAACCGAGGAAGUGCGUUCGAAACUGCAUGGCUUGAGUACCGGAGAGGGUGGUGGAAUUCCCGGUGUAGAGGUGAAAUUCGUAGAUAUCGGGAGGAACACCAGUGGCGAAGGCGACCACCUGGACGGAUACUGACGCUGAGACGCGAAAGCGUGGGGAGCAAACAGGAUUAGAUACCCUGGUAGUCCACGCCGUAAACGAUGAGUGCUAAGUGUUAGAGGGUUUCCGCCCUUUAGUGCUGCAGCAAACGCAUUAAGCACUCCGCCUGGGGAGUACGGCCGCAAGGCUGAAACUUAAAGGAAUUGACGG